GACGAACGCUGGAGGCGUGCUUAACACAUGCAAGUCGAACGAUGAAAUGGAGCUUGCUCCAUGGAUUAGUGGCGAACGGGUGAGUAACACGUGAAUAACCUGCCCUUAAUUUUGGAAUAACCCAGGGAAACCUGGGCUAAUACCGGAUAAGUAAACCUGUGGCAUCACAUGGUUUUGGAACGUUUUUCGAUUAAGGAUGGAUUCGCGGCCUAUCAGCUUGUUGGUGAGGUAAUGGCUCACCAAGGCGACGACGGGUAGCCGGCCUGAGAGGGUGAACGGCCACACUGGGACUGAGACACGGCCCAGACUCCGACGGGAGGCAGCAGAGGGGAAUAUUGCGCAAUGGACGAAAGUCUGACGCAGCGACGCCUCGUGAGGGACGAAGGUCUUCGGAUUGUAAACCUCUUUCAGCAGGGACGAAGCGAAAGUGACGGUACCUGCAGAAGAAGCACUGGCUAACUAUGUGCCAGCCGCCGCCGUAA
This 482-nucleotide ribosomal RNA is filed under the name uncultured bacterium. RNAcentral's name for it is "partial 16S ribosomal RNA". It matches the Rfam family "Bacterial small subunit ribosomal RNA", at positions 28 to 523 of the family's 1533-position model. The record is from RNAcentral.